This 620-nucleotide ribosomal RNA is filed under the name Pseudomigadops sp. PSM1. RNAcentral describes it as "partial 16S ribosomal RNA". It matches the Rfam family "Bacterial large subunit ribosomal RNA", at positions 1845 to 2760 of the family's 2925-position model. The record is from RNAcentral. Lineage: Eukaryota; Metazoa; Arthropoda; Insecta; Coleoptera; Carabidae.
AUUUAAAGUCUAGCCUGCCCACUGAAAUUAAUUUUAAUGGCCGCAGUAUUUUGACUGUGCAAAGGUAGCAUAAUCAUUAGUUUUUUAAUUGAAAGCUUGUAUGAAAGGUUGGACGAGGUAAAAUCUGUCUCUAUUUAAUUUAUUUUAGAAUUUAAUUUUUAAGUUAAAAAGCUUAAAUUUUAUUAAAAGACGAGAAGACCCUAUAGAUCUUUAUAAUUUUUGUUAUAAAUUUAAUUAUGAAUUAUUUAGAAUUUAUAAUAUAAAUUAUUUUAUUGGGGUAAUAAAAAGAUUAAAAUAAUUCUUUUUUAUUUUUAACAUUAAUUUAUGAAUUUAAUGAUCCAAUUUUAUUGAUUAUAAGAUUAAGUUACCUUAGGGAUAACAGCGUAAUUUUUUUAGAGAGUUCAUAUCGAUAAAAAAGUUUGCGACCUCGAUGUUGGAUUAAAGAUUAGUUUAGGUGUAGAAGUUUAAAUUUUUGGUCUGUUCGACCAUUAAAUCUUUACAUGAUCUGAGUUCAGACCGGCGUAAGCCAGGUCGGUUUCUAUCUUUAAUAAUUUUAAAAUAUUUUAGUACGAAAGGACCAAAUAUUUAAUAUAUUUAUAUUUUAUUUUUUGAAUAUUAUU